This is a long non-coding RNA of Oncorhynchus tshawytscha (Chinook salmon), 1032 nucleotides long. NCBI's taxonomy places the organism in Eukaryota, Metazoa, Chordata, Actinopteri, Salmoniformes, Salmonidae. The record is from Ensembl.
GAGGGUGUCCGCCCUCGUCUCGUGCCUCACCGGGAGAGCCCUGGAGUGGGCCAACGCCGUGUGGAGAGAGGGUGUCCGCCCUCGUCUCGUGCCUCACCGGGAGAGCCCUGGAGUGGGCCACCGCCGUGUGGAGAGAGGGUGUCCGCCCUCGUCUCGUGCCUCACCGGGAGAGCCCUGGAGUGGGCCAACGCCGUGUGGAGAGAGGGUGUCCGCCCUCGUCUCGUGCCUCACCGGGAGAGCCCUGGAGUGGGCCAACGCCGUGUGGAGAGAGGUGGGGGACCGGGAGCUGUUGGCUGUCGUAAAGGCCUUGAAUGCGUGGAGACAUUGGCUUGAGGGGGCUAAACACCCUUUUCUCAUCUGGACUGACCACCGAAAUCUGGAGUACAUCCGGGCAGCGAGGAGACUGAACCCUCGUCAGGCAAGGCCGGGGUGGCUGGCCUGCUCCAGGAGUCUGAGGUGCGGGAGGUUCCUCCGCCCCCUCUGGACAUCGAGGUGGCCCUGGUGUACUCCGUUCGCUCCAUACUGGAUUCGAGGCAUCGGGCGAGGGGCCUUCAGUAACUCGUGGAGUGGGAGGGGUGCAGUCCGGAGGAGAGGUGCUGGGUUCCGGUCGAGGACGUGUUGGACCCUUCAAUGCUGCAGGAGUUCCACCAUCUCCAUCCGGUUCACUCUGCGCCUCACCUUCCGGGUCAUCCCCAAGGGCGGUGUCGUCAAGCGGGGGCUACUGUCACGACUUCCACCGAAGUCGGUUCCUCUCCUUGCUCGGGCGGCGCUCGGCGUCGCCGGGCUUCUAGCCAUCAUCGAUCCACUUUUAAUUUUCCUUUUGUUUUGUCUCGUCUUCCCACACACCUGGUCUCAAUUCCCUCAUUACAUGUUGUGUAUUUAACCCUCUGUUCCCCCCAUGUCUUUGUGAGGAAUUGUUUAUUGUAAGUGCAUGUGCACGUUUUCUCUGGUGCACGACGGGUUUUGUACCCAUUUGUCUGUUGUUCUGGUUUCCGGUGGUUUUAUGAAUAAAACUUCUCUGUUGAUUACCCA